CACGUAGGGAGCAAGCGUUGUCCGGAUUUAUUGGGCGUAAAGAGCUCGUAGGUGGUUCGAUAAGUCGGGUGUGAAAACUCUGGGCUCAACUCAGAGACGCCACUCGAUACUGUCGUGACUGGAGUCUGGUAGGGGAGUGUGGAAUUCCCAGUGUAGCGGUGAAAUGCGCAGAUAUUGGGAGGAACACCAAUGGCGAAGGCAGCACUCUGGGACGGUACUGACGCUGAGACGCGAAAGCGUGGGGAGCAAACAGG
Molecule: ribosomal RNA, 254 nt
Filed under: uncultured bacterium
Lineage: Bacteria
Description: partial 16S ribosomal RNA
Rfam family: Bacterial small subunit ribosomal RNA
Source: RNAcentral